GCUUUAGUUUAAAUGAUAAGGAAG
This 24-nucleotide small nuclear RNA is filed under the name Arabidopsis thaliana (thale cress). RNAcentral's name for it is "snRNA_07874". Lineage: Eukaryota; Viridiplantae; Streptophyta; Magnoliopsida; Brassicales; Brassicaceae. The record is from RNAcentral.